CUGGAUGGUAGUGUAUUGGACUACCAUGGCAAUCACGGGUAACGGAGAAUUAGGGUUCGAUUCCGGAGAGGGAGCCUGAGAAACGGCUACCACAUCUACGGAAGGCAGCAGGCGCGAAAAUUGCCCAAUCCUGAUUCAGGGAGGCAGUGACAAGAAAUAACAACUUUCAACUUUGUUGAAAAGUGUAAUGAGGAUAAUUUACAAACCUUACCGAAAGCAAUUGGAGGGCAAGUCUGGUGCCAGCAGCCGCGGUAAUUCCAGCUCCAAAAGCGUAUAUUAAAGUUGUUGCAGUUAAAAAGCUCGUAGUUGAAGUUCUGGCUGUAUUGGGCCUUAGCACUUGAUGCGGAGGAACCAGCAGUCAUCCGCUUGCAAAUACAUGUCCUUCCUUAACCGGUAGGCUGUAUAAGUAAGCACUUUACCUUGAGAAAAACAGAGUGUUCCAGGCAGGUUUGUCCGGAAUGCGUUAGCAUGGAAUAAUAGAAUAUGACUGAAGUCGAUUUAUUGGUUUAAGGCUUUAGUAAUGAUUAAUAGGAACAAUCGGGGGCAUUGGUACUUGUCAGUCAGAGGUGAAAUUCUAGGAUUUGACAAAGACUAACUGAUGCGAAAGCGUUUGCCAAGAAUGUUUUCAUUAAUCAAGAACGAAAGUUAGGGGAUCAAAGACGAUCAGAUACCGUC
Molecule: ribosomal RNA, 675 nt
Filed under: uncultured ciliate
Lineage: Eukaryota; Ciliophora
Description: SSU rRNA
Rfam family: Eukaryotic small subunit ribosomal RNA
Source: RNAcentral